CCCAUCCAAUUCCUCUUUCUUUGCUGCUACCAAACAGAUAAGUACAUGACUAAUUCACUCUAUCAUAGCCUUAUGGUUUUUUGUCUACUGUUUUUCUGCACUGUUGACCUUUUCACUGCUGAUAACUUUUACCAUUCACUGGUUUAUUAUUGCUGGUAAUUUGUAUAUAUUUUGACUUUAUGUGUAUAUUUUGUUUGACCCCAGGGUUCCAGACCCCUCUGUCUGGCUUAAUUCUACUCUACCUUUACUGGUACCUCCUUGUUAAGCUCUAGGGCUUCCUUUUCUCCCUCCAUUACAC
Pelobates cultripes (western spadefoot toad) is the source of this 298-nucleotide non-coding RNA. Lineage: Eukaryota; Metazoa; Chordata; Amphibia; Anura; Pelobatidae. The record is from the annotation of a GenBank genome assembly.